Molecule: ribosomal RNA, 253 nt
Filed under: uncultured bacterium
Lineage: Bacteria
Description: partial 16S ribosomal RNA
Rfam family: Bacterial small subunit ribosomal RNA
Source: RNAcentral
UACGUAGGGGGCUAGCGUUGUCCGGAUUUAUUGGGCGUAAAGAGCGUGUAGGCGGCCAGAUAGGUCUGCUGUGAAAACUCGAGGCUCAACCUCGAGAUGUCGGCGGAAACCAUUUGGCUAGAGUCCGGAAGAGGAGAGUGGAAUUCCUGGUGUAGCGGUGAAAUGCGCAGAUAUCAGGAAGAACACCAAUGGCGAAGGCAGCUCUCUGGGACGGUACUGACGCUGAGACGCGAAAGCGUGGGGAGCGAACAGG